Molecule: long non-coding RNA, 554 nt
Organism: Homo sapiens (human)
Lineage: Eukaryota; Metazoa; Chordata; Mammalia; Primates; Hominidae
Exons: 3
Source: RefSeq, a predicted model, not a curated record
GGGAUUGUUUAGCUGAAAUGGAAGAUUUGAUAUCUGAACAAGGAGUUCUAAAUAAUUCUCUGCACCUUAAUCUGCCAAUACUCACUCUAAAACUACACAAAGGAGAUUCAAAAUAAAAAGAGGAUGAUAAACGGCAAAACCAUCUGAGGUAUUGCAUAAUUGAAACCACAGAUUGCUGCAAAAUAGCUUGGUAGAUAUGAGUAGUUGCCCAAGUUGCAGAAGAGGAUGCUGUUGUACACAUCAUCCUUGAGAUAGGAUGUAGAAACCCAGACACAGACGGAUUGAUGAUACUCUAGAUACCGAGCACUUCUUUAAUUUCUUCUUCUAACAACUGUGAAGUGGUCAAAAGGCAGAAAUGAGGAGGAAAGCAAAAAAGAAGAAGCCACAGGGUGUAGAUAAUCCACAAACAAGCUAAUUGGUCCCUGGGUAAUUGCUGACUCUCUUCAGCAGCCAUGCAAUGGAGAUUUCCAGGAAAAUGUAAAUACUGUAUUUAUAUCUGUUCAAAUUUUGUUUUCAAGAAUAAAAGUACUAAUCAGAUGGGUUUAAGUAUUUGA